AGUGCUCCUUUAGUGGAAAUGCUCCUGAGCCAGUGAUUGAGCACCUGGUGGGAAGGCAGGGCCAGCCCAGGGGAACUCAGGUGCAUGCAAUGCCUUUGAGUGACCAGAAGAGGUGGAGCCAGGAUCUACCCCUUCCCACAUUUCAUUUAAGGGUUGGAAGUAGAGGUGUGGGCAUCUUUUGCUGGAAGUCCCUGCCUACCUGAGGCUAUCCAAAGUGUACCAAAAGCGGAUCAAAUCUGUGGGACAUGGCACAAGGAAAUAAUUAUGGGCAAAGCAGCAAUGGGGUGGCUGAUGAAUCCCCAAACAUGCUGGUGUACAGAAAGAGAAGCUACUGCUGUGCUUUGCCAUGAAUGGAGCAGUGUGAUUUAAGGAUGUGGUCACCUGAUAUGAAUUUGGAAUGUUUUGGCUGCUGACGUUUAUGCUACGUAAGGCAGAUCAAAUGGCUUGUGAGAACUAGAUCUAUAUCUCAGGAACUGCUAGCGACUCUUUUUUAUGAAGUGACUAGAUUUCUUGUUUUGAAUAGCAAAAUAUAUGUGCCUCAACUUUGCAUCACAUUCAGAAACAGUUUAGAAUUUGAAAUCUUCACGUAUUUACUUCAUUUUAUGCAUUGAAACAUAUGGCAUGUGAUGAUGGUGAUGUGUCAGAGUCUGGAAAAUGUUGUGGGUUCAAGUGUUCACUCGCAAAAUCUAUCGUAAAACGAAUGCACGUGUUAUACUUACCUGCAAUCACCAGAACAUAAAACCAGAAAAAUUGAAACAAAACACAACAUGACAACACAAAUUUACGCUCUGGGGAUUCUUUCUGGAAAGCAUAUCUAAUGUAGUUAUUCUAAUGCCAUCAAUACACAAAUUUCCAGAUUCUGAGCUCCAACAUUCUGGUUUAUAUAGCCUCUACACUUUCAUUUUUGUUAAAGUAGUUGCUUGGGGAUUUUGUGAUGGAUUGAUACGUUAUUAUUUUUCUUUAUUUUAAACUUGACAAUUGUGUUUAUUAUCAUAAUUUUUUUAUUCACUGGGAGAAUGACACAUCUUAAUGCAGAAGAAUAGCUGUUCUUGCAAACUGAAAUAUGUAAUUACACAACUACUUGUUUAUUCCUAGAAUGCAGUGCUUUCUAACUUGUUUGUGGUUAUUUCUACCAGGUGGAAAAAUCAAUAUUUUUUUCUUAGCACCCUCGACUUUUCUUUUUCCAAUUUAACUGUAAUAGAAAAUAUCUGACAUGUAUUCAGAUAAGUUUUUGAGGUGAACUGAGGUAUUGCCAGUAACUGUGGUGUUUUUUCCCCAGAAAUUAUAAAAGCAGUUGCAAAAUGAAGACUGGUACAUACUUUAUUUUUUCAUUCUUAUUUUUAAAUACAUUGCUGAUUUCAGUGAGUUUCAGUGGUAUUUUCCAUGGUUUGCCAUUUUGGAAAAUUGGGCUUCUUUUUACACAAAUGAGAUUUAUGAACUUAAUCUCAGUAUACAUGUGUAAGAAUAGACAUCUGGAAAAAAUACAGAGAACCUUACCAGUAACUUGACAAGUGUGUUUCAGAAUGAAAUAAUGUGCAUGAAUUUAUAUGUAAAAAAUGUGCUGUGCAGAUAUAAAGCAAUAAAGCAAAGCUUAUUGUCCUUUAUAGGCUUCUGAUCUUUCCGAACAGCAUCUUUUCAUAUUUGUCAUGUACCUCUAUGCUGAAAAAGUGCCUAUUUAGUAGUUAGUGGGGGAAAAAACAGAGAAACUGUUUUCUUCUCCAGUGGUGUGUAUGUCUGAGUAGCAGGCUGAGCUUAUAAUCCAUUGUAUUUAGUCUUAUCUUAUGCCACAAUUUAACACUGCCCCUGAGCAGCCUCCAGAUUAAAAGGAAAGUUCUGAGGCAAGUGACCAAAAUGUUGGUGAUGCAGGGAAAACUUGAAAAUGAGGAGUGGAAAUAGGACAUAAAGCCUCAUGUAGUCACUCAGUGUCAAAUAUCUUUUCAGUAAAUCAAAGGCGUGGGGAUCGUAUCAAUUUGUGUCCAGUAUGAUAGUGGUUAUUCUCUUGAUGUUAAAGUGCAAGUGGUGUACUGAGUAUUAAACUUUCACAAAUACUGACCUUCUGCAGUAUUAUCUGCCAUAUUUAUUUUAAUACACUUCAACGUAUUAUUUUGGCAUAGUAAAUCAGAAGGGUCAUUUAAGAUGGUUAGCGUACAAAGAGUAUAAACUUAAGUAGUCCUUCCUUUGGCAGAACUUAAGGAA
Non-coding RNA from Phasianus colchicus (ring-necked pheasant), 2196 nucleotides. The record is from RefSeq and is a predicted model, not a curated record. Lineage: Eukaryota; Metazoa; Chordata; Aves; Galliformes; Phasianidae.